UGGAUCAUUGAUGACCAUAAAAGAUGUAGGAGUCGUCUGAGACAUGCAUGAUGACCAUAAUAUUGCCAGUCUGAGAUCCAC
This is a non-coding RNA of Rattus norvegicus (Norway rat), 81 nucleotides long. Lineage: Eukaryota; Metazoa; Chordata; Mammalia; Rodentia; Muridae. The record is from RefSeq and is a predicted model, not a curated record.